This 217-nucleotide ribosomal RNA is filed under the name uncultured bacterium. Its description in RNAcentral is "partial 16S ribosomal RNA". It matches the Rfam family "Bacterial small subunit ribosomal RNA", at positions 118 to 351 of the family's 1533-position model. The record is from RNAcentral.
UGGGAACCUUCCUAGGGGUACGGAACAACUCAGGGAAAACUUGAGCUAAUACCGUAUACGUCCGUAAGGAGAAAGAUUCAUCGCCCCUAGACGGGCCCGCGUAGGAUUAGGUAGUUGGUGAGGUAACGGCUCACCAAGCCUACGAUCCUUAGCUGAUCUGAGAGGAUGAUCAGCCACACUGGGACUGAGACACGGCCCAGACUCCUACGGGAGGCAG